UAGGGAAUCUUCCGCAAUGGACGCAAGUCUGACGGAGCAACGCCGCGUGAGUGAAGAAGGAUUUCGGUUCGUAAAACUCUGUUGUUAGAGAAGAACAGCGCAUAGAGUAACUGUUAUGCGUGUGACGGUAUCUAACCAGAAAGCCACGGCUAACUACGUGCCAGCAGCCGCGGUAAUACGUAGGUGGCAAGCGUUGUCCGGAUUUAUUGGGCGUAAAGCGAGCGCAGGCGGUCAAUUAAGUCUGAUGUGAAAGCCCCCGGCUCAACCGGGGAGGGUCAUUGGAAACUGGUUGCCUUGAGUGCAGAAGAGGAGAGUGGAAUUCCAUGUGUAGCGGUGAAAUGCGUAGAUAUAUGGAGGAACACCAGUGGCGAAGGCGACUCUCUGGUCUGUAACUGACGCUGAGGCUCGAAAGCGUGGGUAGCAAACAGG
This 429-nucleotide ribosomal RNA is filed under the name Bacteroidota bacterium. RNAcentral's name for it is "Bacteroidetes bacterium partial 16S ribosomal RNA". It matches the Rfam family "Bacterial small subunit ribosomal RNA", at positions 355 to 776 of the family's 1533-position model. The record is from RNAcentral. Lineage: Bacteria; Pseudomonadati; Bacteroidota.